Non-coding RNA from Pelobates cultripes (western spadefoot toad), 349 nucleotides. The record is from the annotation of a GenBank genome assembly. Lineage: Eukaryota; Metazoa; Chordata; Amphibia; Anura; Pelobatidae.
CCCGGGUUGCAUGGCACUCAUCAGUGAACAGGACUGUCUGAAAAUUAGUCUUCAUGUAUUUUUAUGCCCAAUGCAGCAGUUUCUGCUUGUGAGCAUUGGUUAGUGGUGCCCAAAUAGAAGGUUUAUGCACAGUUGCGAGACUCUGGAUGACUCUACACCUUGAUGUCCGUGGAACUCCAGAGGCACCAGCAGCUUCAAAUAUUUGUUUGCUGCUAUGUAAUGGUAUUUUAGCAGCUGCACUCUUAAUUCGAUGAAAGAGUCAUUGUUAACAGCACCAUAACAGUUAAACAAAAAUGAAUGUGCUCUCUCAUCUUUGCCCAUAUUGCAUUCCAUAAGUUCAUCCUUCAGG